UACGGGGGGGGCAAGCGUUGUUCGGAAUUACUGGGCGUAAAGGGCGCGUAGGCGGCGACUCUAGUCAGAUGUGAAAGUCAAAGGCUCAACCUUUGAAAGCCGGUGGAUACUGUGAGGCUAGAGUACGGAAGAGGCGAGUGGAAUUCCUGGUGUAGCGGUGGAAUGCGCAGAUAUCAGGAGGAACACCAAUAGCGAAGGCAGCUCGCUGGGACGUUACUGACACUGAGGCGCGAAAGCGUGGGGAGCGAACAGG
Molecule: ribosomal RNA, 253 nt
Filed under: uncultured bacterium
Lineage: Bacteria
Description: partial 16S ribosomal RNA
Rfam family: Bacterial small subunit ribosomal RNA
Source: RNAcentral